This is a long non-coding RNA of Rattus norvegicus (Norway rat), 8175 nucleotides long. RefSeq lists it as uncharacterized. The record is from RefSeq and is a predicted model, not a curated record. NCBI's taxonomy places the organism in Eukaryota, Metazoa, Chordata, Mammalia, Rodentia, Muridae.
GUUCUUGACAGUAUCCUUGGAGGGUGGUGACCUGAAGGGCAGAAAAACACUCUCUCAUCAGGUAUGAACCUGCAGCCCUUCGGUGAAGGCAGGCUGAGGCAAUUUUGAAAGGAAUGAGCGCAGCUGUGUUCCAUGAAUAAGGGCGUUGCAACGGCAGGCUGCAGAGGAGGAAUGCUGGGUCCUGCUCUCCUAAGUGGGAUGGAAUCCCUGAACCUUCAGCACAAGAGGCUUGUACUUACCUGAGCAGCUGCAAGCUUGCCUGAUGAACACUCCUCGUUCCCGGCCUCAUGCUUUUGGAGUCAGAAGGACCUGGGUAGUAGGAGGAAUUGAUUAGAUACUACCUUCCCCUCCCAUGUACCUGCUGGCAGAGGCCUGGCCACUUGUGGACAAUCUCCCAUGGCUCUCUACCUACUCAUCUCUGAAGACCCUUUAAAUUAGAAGACCCAAGGAGAGACCUGGCUAUGAUUGGAACAUGCAGCAGAUGGUACGAGUUUUGGAGCUGGCUGGGGAUAUGAAUUGUGACCUGUGCCACAAGGAAUAUCCACGCGACAGCUUCGUGUGUUGCUCACCCUUGAGUGUUCAGGACAGAAACUAGUUCUCAGCUACCACGUGUUGGAAUACAGAUGUCGCUGACAUAGUAGCUCCCUGUGUGGAGCCAACAAGAGUUGGCCAGUGGAGAUGUGCCAUCGAGGAUUACUGAAGUGCUCUGAAGUGCCUCAGGCUAUUUUCAUCACCAGCCUGUGACCCAUCUGUCCUGUCUCCCAGGCACAUGAACACACCUGACAAGCCCCUGUCCCUUCAUGUACCUACCUGAGUACUUCCACCAGAGCAGGCAGGCCCAGGGGCAGGUGUUUGGCACUGGGUGCCGCUGUGGAAUUUGCUCUAUAGAGAUGACUCAGCAUCCAAGCAUGUGCGGCCCAGUGCCAAAGGCCCAUGGCAGGGAUGUGGGCUGCCUGGGCAGGUUCCACUGGUCCAGGCAUUACUGAGAAUGUUCUACCAGGUUCUCUGAAUGUGUCUUGGCACUGGAUCUGGUCUCCAAGUGAAGAGCCCCCAAAUCCAUUCCAAGGCUUCAUCUGAGCAACUUCUCUCCAUAGCCCCAGGUUAUUCCCGCUCCCCACUGCUUCUGUGUCCCCCCUCCACUAUCCAUCACUGCCUGGCUUGGGACAUCCAAGGUCUCAAAGUCAGAGAAGCAAUUCCCAAAACACAGGAAACAUGAUUUGUCACCGCUUCUGAGUACCAGAGUGCUUCUUAGAGGUCUUGCUGGACCGGGCUAAGCAUCACUGACUUCCCUCCCUGCCUAGCCAGAGGCCCAUGGCUUCGUGCUGAGUCAAGACUUGUGGCAUUAUGACUAAGUUAGCUACUUUUCUGUUGUGAUAAAAUACCAUGACCAAAGCAACUUAGAAGAAAGCAUUUAAUUGGGAUUAUGGUUCCAGACAAACAGAUACACCCAGAGAGUUGACUUUUCGGUGAUUCUAGAGCAUAUCAAGUUGACUCAACAGAUGAGUGUUUUAUAGGGAAAGGGGUUGAACUAAGCCUGAAUUCCAUAUCAGGGUGUACUUCACAGCAAAGGCCAUGAACAAAACCUGGAUCCCACAUCACAACAGAGAGGGAUGGCAGGAGCCUGGAUCCUACAUCAUUGCAGAAAGGGAUGCCAGGAGCCUGGACCCCAGUAAUCAGUGUGCUGUUCUCUGCAGCUUCAAUCUUUCUUGGAGAGGGAGAAGAAGCACCUGGAUACAGACCACUACCCCCUGCACCUAUAAUACACUCUCAGGUCACCCUAUGACCCUAUGGGUCCCUUUAACAUCACUAUGGACUCAUCCUCCGAGGUCACUGACAACACUGCAACUCCGGUGCAGGAUGUUGAGGCAAAGAGGGACCGGGGUAGGGGCUGCCUUUUGAGGAUGGAACUGUUUACUUCCCACAGAAAACAGGACCCUUGGGACCCUUUUCUACACUCUAUAAUAUGAAGGGCCCUCAUGCAUUUUCAGUAUUUCUAUCUCUGUCUCCCAGUAUAACUUAACUUACUAUCUCAAAAUACAAUGGCAUGCAAAGGCGUUCUUUUAACCAACAGUAAUGAAAUAGCAUGUGUCUGUAUUUAUGGGCUUAUCCUCACUGCUACCAUCAACAUCAUCUUUGGAUAUAAAAACAUUAAGCUGGGCUGUGGUGCCACAUGCCUGUCAUCCUAGCUCUUUGGAGGCAGAGACAGGCAGAUCUCUGUUUAAGGCCAUCCUGGUAUAGAGAAUGUUCCGGAACAGUCAAGGCUACACAGAGAAACCCUGUCUCAAAAACAAAACAAAACAAAAAAGGACAAAAAAAAUUUAACUAACAUAGUCUGUGCACAUAUUUAAAAUAUGUGACAAAAACAAAAAACCUCCAAAAUAAAAAAAAAAAACACCAAAAAUAAAAUAAUAAAACCUCCUGUCCAUGUACCUCAUUUUUGUACACUGGAGAGAUACUAGCAGAAACACGUACCCACGUGCUCAUGUACUUACAUACUUACACACACAACACACAUGUACUCAUGUAAACACAAUGCAUUUACACUAACAUUCAUAUUCUACACACACUUAGAUCUAUCUACUUAGGUAACCCUCACACUCUCAAACACAUGCAUCCAUACACACACUCACACUCAUGUUCAGCUCACUCACAAUCACUCGAGCACACUUUGAACACGCCUUCACACUCACCCCUUCUCACUCACUUGCGCUCACGUGCGUCUGUGAAUGAAUACUCACUCACCACGUACUGUAAUAUCACACCAAAUCAUAAGGCUGGGACUGCAGAAAUGGCUCCUGACUUCACAAACAUUGUCAUCUCCCUCACGGACUGAUAGUUCAUAGAGCAGCUUUUAAAUAGUACAGCCUCCAUUGAUAACUAGAGGAAGGGAAGAAGAAGAGGAGAAAGGAGAGCAGGACAGAUCAAGUCAGAACCUAACUUUCUCUGACGCAAUUUGUGGUGCAGCCUGGGGCUGCUGUGUCACGUCUCACUUCCCUUGCUGCUAAACGGGGCACACGUGUGACCAGAACACUUGCUGCCAGGGCUGUUAGCACAGAGGGUGGAGUCAAGAUCAUGAUUAAUCUUCCUGCCUGGCAUUUUUGGAGGGGAAUAUCACAUUGUGAUUUAAAGCAAGGAGGCUGGGGUCAAUGGGCUUGAAAUAACUGGCCUCGACCAACAUGUUUGACCUGUCUGAACCUUGACCUCCUAUGUACACUUGAGAACAACACCACCAUAUCCAGCAGGAGCAGAUGAGUGCAUUGUGUAGUGUGAGCAGCACAGAUGAGCAUUGGCACGACAGGCCUUGACAGUGCACAGUGGACAAACCACACCAUUAUGUAGCAAAGGGUAUUGGUCUAGACCUUUAUCACACCGAGGCCUUCCUAGCCACAGACACCUUACCUUGUACAGCUCAACUGAGUAGGUCCGGUCCCACUGCAAUGCCUGUUCCCAGUAGGCUUUGAGAGACUUGGAAAGACUAUCUAGAGCUCUGUGAGGAACGACAAAACUUCUACCCUGAUAAUGGUGCAGGUCCUUUGACUGGUGCCUCCAUAUGUACAGUAGGGACUAGGAUCUGUGGACCUCAGCCCCUGGCCUAUGGGGACAUAAAAGGCCUCGGGUACAGGAGUGAAAUGACAAAGGAGAGUCCUGAGAACAGUGAAGGCACUAGAGAGAGCUAGAGCCCAUGGGAGGAGGGACUUAGUCUGAGGAGACAGGCCCCUGGUAUUUCAGGAGAGCCAUGGCUUCCCCUUAGCAUGUCUCUGCCUUGUGUAUGCUGAGACCAAGACUCUGGCUGCCCAUUCUGUCCAAGAGAAAGGAUUCACAUUGUUACACACGUGUCCUUCUUAAAGGAACCUCUUCACUGAAGAUCCGUGGGAGGCCUGAGGGAAGUGGUGAUGGCAUCCACCUAGGGUUUGCCUUGUGGAGGAUCUGGUAUCACCUACUUCCUUGUCCAAAGUACCUCAUCUGUUCAGGAUGCAGGACUAGAGCAGCCCAGACUCCCUUAAGCUGAGACACAUGGGACUUUCUUCUAGCUGACUUAUGAUGCCCUGUAUUCAUUUGCCCCCAAUGCUAACUCUAGCCAAUCUUCCCAAGCCUUGUGAAGCCUACUGGGAUCAGACACUGUAGUCCUCCUCCCCUCCAGGGUUCUCACCUGUCUUCCCAUUGGGUGUUCAAGGAAAUCGGGAUUAAGAUAUGCACAUCUGCAGGGUCAUUACCUGCUUUCUCAGUGGCCUCUGGCAUCACUAAUACUAUUUAAGAUGACCAUGUAUAUUUGAGCCAUCUGUGCUUAAUAUUACCCCAAAGAAAGAAAAAUCUGAAAAAAAAGGGAAAAAAUUAAGAUAAGGGGCCGGAGAGAUGUCAGUCGUUAAGAGCACUGGCUGCUCUUCCAGAGGACCUGUGCUCAAUUCUCAGCACCCACAUGGUAGCUAACAACCAUCUGUAACUCCAGUUCCAGGGGUUCUGACAUCUUCAGACAUACGUGCUGGCAGAACACCAAUGAACAUCAAAUAAAAAGAAAUGAUUUUUUUAUAAAAAAAAUAAAACUACCUUUUUGUUCCUUUAUAAUCCUUCAUUUCUAAGAAGACAAAGAGACAUAUUGUGAGCUCUAAUGUCCUGACUCAGCAACGCCAUUUACACGGCAUGGAGUGACAGUGACCAACUGGUGGCACCGUGUGGAAAUAGAACUCUGUGUCUCCAAGGGAAUUUCCUAAUAUCCCCGAAUUCUAAGUGGGAACUAGUUGUCACUUGAAGGGUCAAUGACACUUAUUUCUGGCAAAGUUGCUCUUUCAAAGUUCCGUAAUCAGCAAUAAACUUUGUAUAUAAAAAACAACUUCAGUUGCUUGCUUUGAUAUGUGAUCUACUAAAAUCCAAGGCCAGAUCCCAGUGAGGCUUCUCAAAGAAAAGGCCUUCACUUCUAGUCCAUCAUCUAAUCAAUACCCCUGUUAAAACAAGGAUUGUUUUAUGGUUAAUAGUCACUUUGAAUUUCCCAUUGUCCCAACUGAUUGAUAUAAUUUCUUAGUUAUUUCUCAUAAUAAAAUUUCUCUUUAAAGGCCUUAUUUGUCCCAGACAAGAGAUAAGAAAACUGAAUCCACAGAACAGUUAACUAACUUGCCCAAGCUCAAAUAGUUGGUAAGAGUUUGAAUUCAAAUCUGCUGGCCGUAUCUGGAAAUGUCUAUGAGGACGUUUACAGAAUGGGUUAAUUGGGAAGGGAAGACCCACCCUAAUUUGGGUAACACAAUUCUGUGGACUGUGGUCCUGGAUUGUAUAGAAAACAGAGGGCAGGCUGAGCUUUCAUUGCUUUCUGACUCCUGGUUCCAGAUGCACCGUGACCAGUAGCCUCACGUUCCUGGUGCCUGCCGGGAUGCGCAGUACUCUAGAACUGUAAAUGCCAAAAUAAAACCCUUUCCUCCUUAAGUCGCUUUUGUUAUACACUUUGUUGAAGCAAUGAAGAAAGUGACUCAGGAAAUUGGUAAUGACAAGUCUGGCUGUUGCUGUUGUUAACCUGACCAUUUUGGUUCUUAAGGCUUUGGAACUGAUUUCCUAGGGAAAUGGGGAAGAACUUUUGGCUAGAAAAUGCCCUAGAACCCUCCAGACACAACUUAACAGAGUGUUCUGGUGGGAGUUCGGAGUGCCAGCCUGCCAAGAGAAAUGUGACUAGUAGAGCCCUAGUUCAUGAGGUUUCAGAGAGGAACACCUUGUGCAGCUCUUUGGAACUCUUUGGAACUCUCCGGAACUCUCCGGAACUCUCUGGAACUCUCCGGAACUCUCUGGAACUCUUCGGAAAUUCAGGUUAUAUCUGGAGAAGAGUCUGACUGCCUUUUCCUGGUAUCCUGAGGACUUGAAUAAGGCCAAGUUCAGAAGUAAAGGACUAAUUUGUCUGGUAGAGGAAAAGUUCAUGAUGUUUGGGGGGGGGUAGGAGAGAGGGGAGGGGAAGAGGGGAGAAGGGAGACAGAGAUGAAAAGAGAACACACACACACAGAGAGAGAGAGAGAGAGAGAGAGAGAGAGAGAGAGAGAGAGAGAGAGAGAGAGACCAAGAGACAUAAAGAGAAGAGCAGGAGCAGAAAUUUAAAAAAAAGUUGUGCACUUUGACGGGCGAAAGUAACAAGCUUAAAGUUACAGAAAAGGAAGUUGUGAAUGCAGAUGUAUUCAUUAAGGAGUUUAGUACCAUUAAAGAGAAGCCUGAACUUUCCACUGGGUCAAUAAGAAAGAUUCCCGAGGGAAAGACCCAAUUUAAAAAAAAUACAUUUGUGAAAAUGUGAAUUCAUUUGAAAAGAGUCUUUUCGUGUAACAUACUGCUGAAAGAGUUCAAUGCUUGAAAUAAUGGCAUAAGAGCAAAAGGAUCACCACAGCGUCCAUCCACGGGGCUCUCCUGACAGCCGGACUGGGCAGUGUCACCUCUGAGGUGCUGAUUUUGAAACCAUGAACCAUGUAAGACUAAGGGAGUCAUCAAGUGUGGCCUCCAAACCCAGACAGUUGCUGAGGUCAGGCAAUGUGUGGCAGUGUCAAAAUUACUGUAGAAAGUCCCUAAGAAGCCAUUACACGAAGCUUUGGAGAGACCCAAGCUGCAAUGGAGACCCCACGAUGUUGAAACUAUCCGGACUAAGGAAAUCUGCCGAGAAACCUUCAUGUAAGAAGAGUCAGGCCCUGUGUGCUUCAGGCCAUAGAGCUAGAGAGGUAGGGCUGUCUAAGCCCUUUGGAGGCCAAAUGAUUCCAUUGUAAGCACCAAAUGUCAGAGCUGAAGGGUUUAUUGUUUUCCUUGUUGGGUUUAGGACUGAAUUUGGUCCAAUCUUACCUUCAUAAUGCCCUGAUUCUACCCUUUAGUGAUGGUAAUGUUUAUUCUCUGUCAUCGCAUGUUGAAAAUAAAUGAUUUGCUUUUGAUAUUAUAGGACCUAUAAUACAGGCUGAUUCUCAGAAGAGACUCUGCACUUAUAUUUUUUCAAGGGUGUUGAAACUGUAAAAUUUGUGGGAAUUCUUGUAGUUGGGUUGAAUGUAUUUUGCACGGACAUGGCCAUGAGCCAUUCAAAGCCAUCAUGUUUGGGUGUCAGGUUGACAAGAUGUAGACUUGUCAACUUGAUAUUGUUGGCUUCACAGGAUCUGACUCACCUAGAACACACCUCAGUAUUUCUGUAAGAGGUUUGCAAAUUAGGUUCAUUGAGGUGGUAAGAAAUACCCUAAAUGUGGUCAGCAUAGGCUGGGGGCCACACUCCAUAAAAAUGAGAGCUAGCUAGGCGCCAGUAUUCAUUGCUCCCUGCUUCCUAACUGCGGAUAUAACGUGAUCUGUCUCAAGCUCCUACUGCUAUGCUUCUGUGAUGGACUGUGGCCCCUCAAACUGUAAGUCAAAACACAUCUUCCCUCCCUAAACUGCUUGUGAGACGCAUGGUGUUUUGUUGUCACAGCAACAAGAAGUAGUUAGGGAAUCUAUUCCACCCCCUUACCUCUCAGGGAAGUGGCUCUAUUCUUUUCCAUAACACCUGUAGUGGGAGAAUUAAUUUUUCACCAUACAUAAUGAGGUAGCAGAACUUAACUGUUCUCUGUGGGAUUCAUGUUCUUUCUCGUGUCUUUCUCCACAAGUAUUAAGGUUUGAAUAUCUCCUUUCCUAAGUCAGCUCAGCUUGCUGGUGCAGUUACAGGUCAUCAGAGCUCCGUGGCAGAUGUGACAGAUGCUCUGUUUCCUUCAGUAGUUAGUGGAUGAGCCAGCUUCAUCCUUCUGGACAUCAAUGACGACAUCACUACAGUAUCACAAUCCCGGUGCUGACUCAGCAACUUGGCGCCAUUCCCCAUGGACAUCCAAUGCUCGGGGGGGGGGGGGGGAUCUAGACAUCAGCUUUUCCUGUGGUGGAGUUCAUCCUGCGUUCUCUCCUUACAUACAGUGUGCUGAGUCGAAGAAGGCUCUUACAGAGGGGACAUCUUGGAGAAGUUUUGUAGGAUAAAGGGCAAAGAAAACCCACCAAUCCCUGAACAGGAAAAUCCACCAAUCCCUGAGCUUGCCCAUGCUCAUGAAUUGAAAUCCCACCAAUCUUCACCCUAGAAAUCUCCACCCUGGAAUGCUCUCCCCCACCCCCCAAGAAAUCCUAUAUAAGCCCUGCCUUUGCUCAGUUCCCCCUGCUUCUUGCCUGAGCAGAAGCAGCCACCAUCCUGGGUUUUUUUCCUUCUCAAUAAAUUUCUCGUAUGAGGUA